Molecule: transfer RNA, 84 nt
Filed under: Duncaniella sp.
Lineage: Bacteria; Pseudomonadati; Bacteroidota; Bacteroidia; Bacteroidales; Muribaculaceae
Description: tRNA-Leu
Rfam family: tRNA
About the family: Transfer RNA (tRNA) molecules are approximately 80 nucleotides in length.
Source: RNAcentral
GUCCCUGUGGUGGAAUUGGUAGACACGCUACUUUGAGGGGGUAGUGUCCGAAAGGAUGUGUGAGUUCGAAUCUCCUCUCGGACA